Selaginella moellendorffii is the source of this 540-nucleotide long non-coding RNA. RefSeq lists it as uncharacterized. Lineage: Eukaryota; Viridiplantae; Streptophyta; Lycopodiopsida; Selaginellales; Selaginellaceae. The transcript is spliced from 3 exons. The record is from RefSeq and is a predicted model, not a curated record.
GCCGCCUCUAGGGUUCUUGCGCGAAAUAUUUCGCUCUCUCUGACCGAUAGGAUCGAUCGGAAGCUGGAAGGUCAAAUUGGCGGCGAGGAUUCGAAGGGAUGCGCUAGCGAGCGUUUCUAGGUGGCCUACUCUACUCGCGCCUCUCAAAUCAAUCGCUCUCGGAAACGUUUGGUGCUGGAAUUCGUUCUUGACGGCAUACAUUGGGCAUGAACCGUGAGAAAAUUCGUCCGAGAGAAUUCGCGAGACAAUGUGUUCUGGGAGGCUUGUCUUCUAAGCAAGCAAUCCUUGUGAUAGACGCUGGCAUUUAUGUGAGCGGGGUGUCGCGUUUGAUUUCGUGAGGUAGGAGCGGUGUUAGUGCAAUCCAGUCUAGAUCUCUUGGUGGUGGUGCAUUUAUGAGGCAGCGAGCUAGAGAGGAUCAUAGGUAGACCAAUUUUUUGUGAUUUUGCGGGAGUUUUCUUUGUAAAGAGGGGAGCUGUUUUUCUUUCUUUGUUUCCUUUUUUGGAUGCUUUAGAUUGAGUGAAAGCUGCUCCAGGUUCAGUC